RNAcentral lists this ribosomal RNA (939 nucleotides) under uncultured bacterium. RNAcentral's name for it is "partial 16S ribosomal RNA". It matches the Rfam family "Bacterial small subunit ribosomal RNA", at positions 570 to 1502 of the family's 1533-position model. The record is from RNAcentral.
UCCAGGUCGACUUGUUANGUNNANUUNGUNNNAGCCCCGGNNCUNNCCUNGNANUUGCAUUUUGAACCUGGCAUGCCUAGAGUCUNGUAGAGGGGGGUAGACUUUCAGGUGUAGNGGUGAAAUGGGUAGAGAUNNGAAGGGUAUNUCAGCGNNGNAGCUGGCCCCCCUGUUCAAAUAUUGACGUUCAGAUGUGAAAGCGUGGGGAGCAAACAGGAUUAGAUUCCUUGGUAGUUCNCGCCGUAAACGAUGUNUACUUGGAGGUUGUGGCCUUGAGCCGUGGCUUUAGGAGCCCACGCGUUAAGUAGAUUGCGUGGGGAGUACGGUCGCAAGAUUAUAACUCUAAUGAAUUGACGGGGGCCCGCACAAGCGGUGGAGCAUGUGGUUUAAUUCGAUGCAACGCGAAGAACCUUACCUACUCUUGACAUCCAGAGAAGCUUGAAGAGAUUUGAGUGUGCUUUCGGGAACUAUGAGUCAGGUGCUGCAUGUUCGUCGUCAGCUCGUGUUGUGAAAUGUUGGGUUAAGUCCCGCAACGAGCGCAACCCUUAUCUUUGUUUUUCAGCACUUCGGGUGGGUUCUCCAGGGAGACCUCCGGUGAUAAACCGGAGGAAGGUGGGGACGACGUCAAGUCAUCAUGCCCCUUACGAGUAGGGCUACACACGUCCUACAAUGGCAUAUACAGAGGGCAGCAAGACUUCGAGGUGGAGCGAAUCCCAGAAAGUAUGUCGUAGUCCGGAUCGGAGUCUGCAACUCGACUCCGUGAAGUCGGAAUCGUUAGUAAUCGUGGAUCUGAAUGCCACCGUGAAUACGUUCCCGGCCCUUGUACACACCCCCCGUCUCACCAUGGGAGUGGUUUGCACCAGAAGUAGAUAGCUUAACCUUCGGGAGGGCGUUUACCACGGUGUGGUUCAUGACUGGGGUGAAGUCGUCACAAGGUAACCG